GAUUGCCUCAGUAACGGCGAGUGAAGCGGCAAAAGCUCAAAUUUGAAAUCUGGCUCUUUCAGGGUCCGAGUUGUAAUUUGCAGAAGAUGCUUUGGGUGUGGCUCUGGUUUAAGUUCUUUGGAAUAUUACAUCAUAGAGGGUGAGAAUCCCGUAUGUGACCAGUCGCCGCGCCCGUGUAAAGCUCUUUCAACGAGUCGAGUUGUUUGGGAAUGCAGCUCAAAAUGGGAGGUAUAUUUCUUCUAAAGCUAAAUAUUGGCCAGAGACCGAUAGCGCACAAGUAGAGUGAUCGAAAGAUGAAAAGCACUUUGGAAAGAGAGUUAAACAGUACGUGAAAUUGUUGAAAGGGAAGCGCUUGCAACCAGACUUGCACGCAGUUGAUCAUCCGGUGUUCUCACCGGGGCACUCUGCUGCGUUCAGGCCAGCAUCGUUUUUGGUGGUUGGAUAAAGGCCUUGGGAAUGUAGCUUCUUUCGGGGAGUGUUAUAGCCCUCGGUGCAAUGCAGCCUACCGGGAACGAGGACCGCGCUUCGGCUAGGAUGCUGGCGUAAUGGUUGUAAGCGGCCCGUCUUGAAACACGGACCAAGGAGUCUAACAUCUAUGCGAGUGUUUGGGUGUCAAACCCAUACGCGUAAUGAAAGUGAACGGAGGUGAGAACCCUUAAGGGUGCAUCAUCGACCGGUCCUGAUGUCUUCGGAUGGAUCUGAGUAAGAGCAUAGCUGUUGGGACCCGAAAGAUGGUGAACUAUGCGUGAAUAGGGUGAAGCCAGAGGAAACUCUGGUGGAGGCUCGCAGCGGUUCUGACGUGCAAAUCGAUCGUCAAAUUUGCGCAUAGGGGCGAAAGACUUAUCGAACCAUCUAGUAGCUGGUUCCU
Molecule: ribosomal RNA, 868 nt
Filed under: Rhytismatales sp.
Lineage: Eukaryota; Fungi; Ascomycota; Leotiomycetes; Rhytismatales
Description: partial large subunit ribosomal RNA
Rfam family: Eukaryotic large subunit ribosomal RNA
Source: RNAcentral